GAUGAACGCUGGCGGCGUGCCUAAUACAUGCAAGUCGAGCGAACGGACGAGAAGCUUGCUUCUCUGAUGUUAGCGGCGGACGGGUGAGUAACACGUGGAUAACCUACCUAUAAGACUGGGAUAACUUCGGGAAACCGGAGCUAAUACCGGAUGAUAUUUUGAACCGCAUGGUUCAAAAGUGAAAGACGGCCUUGCUGUCACUUAUAGAUGGAUCCGCGCUGCAUUAGCUAGUUGGUAAGGUAACGGCUUACCAAGGCAACGAUGCAUAGCCGACCUGAGAGGGUGAUCGGCCACACUGGAACUGAGACACGGUCCAGACUCCUACGGGAGGCAGCAGUAGGGAAUCUUCCGCAAUGUGCGAAAGCCUGACGGAGCAACGCCGCGUGAGUGAUGAAGGUCUUCGGAUCGUAAAACUCUGUUAUUAGGGAAGAACAUAUGUGUAAGUAACUGUGCACAUCUUGACGGUACCUAAUCAGAAAGCCACGGCUAACUACGUG
This 497-nucleotide ribosomal RNA is filed under the name uncultured bacterium. Its description in RNAcentral is "partial 16S ribosomal RNA". It matches the Rfam family "Bacterial small subunit ribosomal RNA", at positions 28 to 507 of the family's 1533-position model. The record is from RNAcentral.